AUAUUUAUUAGCUUUAUUUUAAACAUUUUUUUUACUUCUUUCUGUUUAUUCUGGAUUUAUUAUUAUUCGUUUGAUACCAAUUUUUAUUGAGUUCGUGAAUACACGUAAACCACGAAAUUAAAUGUACAAACAAUUAAAAAUUGUGUAUAGGGUUUUAUGAAGAAUAAAGCAAAACCACGAACUCAAAUAUCCACGAAAAUGCAAGUGUUCCUCUGACCACGAAAAUUAUUACCGGA
Molecule: long non-coding RNA, 236 nt
Filed under: Mytilus galloprovincialis (Mediterranean mussel)
Lineage: Eukaryota; Metazoa; Mollusca; Bivalvia; Mytilida; Mytilidae
Source: RNAcentral